AAGAUGAGUUGUGCCGUAUUUUGCAAGCAAUGAAAAAGCAUUGUGGUUGGCAAAGUCUUCAAACUGGACAAUGACUUUCUCUCCAUAGUUUUGCUUCACAGCGGACAUGAAUUCCUCAAGUAGAUCAGCAUAUUCCUGACCAGUGGCCCGCCUUUGCCUUAAUCCAAUAUAGAACUCAUUCUUCAGUAGCUCCUCAUUAUUAGUCCCAACGUCAAUGGUGAUGGGUAAGCACGCAGAAGGCCGAAUUCCUCCAAGUGCAGAAUACAGUGCAAGCUUCCCUACAGGAAUUCCCAUUCCCUGACAGCCAA
RNAcentral lists this unclassified non-coding RNA (308 nucleotides) under Hevea brasiliensis (rubber tree). Lineage: Eukaryota; Viridiplantae; Streptophyta; Magnoliopsida; Malpighiales; Euphorbiaceae. The record is from RNAcentral.